AUUGAACGCUGGCGGAAUGCUUUACACAUGCCAGUCGAGCGGCAGCACGGGGGCAACCCUGGUGGCGAGCGGCGAACGGGUGAGUAAUACAUCGGAACAUGCCCAGUCGUGGGGGAUAACACUUCGAAAGAAGUGCUAAUACCGCAUACGUCCUGAGGGGGAAAGCGGGGGAUCGCAAGACCUCGCGCGAUUGGAGUGGCCGAUGUCAGAUUAGCUAGUUGGUGGGGUAAAGGCCUACCAAGGCAACGAUCUGUAGCUGGUCUGAGAGGAUGAUCAGCCACACUGGGACUGAGACACGGCCCAGACUCCUACGGGAGGCAGCAGUGGGGAAUUUUGGACAAUGGGGGCAACCCUGAUCCAGCCAUUCCGCGUGAGUGAAGAAGGCCUUCGGGUUGUAAAGCUCUUUCGGCAGGAACGAAACGGUGAGCUCUAACAUAGCUUGCUAAUGACGGUACCUGAAGAAGAAGCACCGGCUAACUACG
RNAcentral lists this ribosomal RNA (482 nucleotides) under uncultured bacterium. Its description in RNAcentral is "partial 16S ribosomal RNA". It matches the Rfam family "Bacterial small subunit ribosomal RNA", at positions 30 to 505 of the family's 1533-position model. The record is from RNAcentral.